This 230-nucleotide ribosomal RNA is filed under the name uncultured bacterium. RNAcentral describes it as "partial 16S ribosomal RNA". It matches the Rfam family "Bacterial small subunit ribosomal RNA", at positions 563 to 791 of the family's 1533-position model. The record is from RNAcentral.
AAGCGCACGUAGGCGGUUUUCUAAGUUCGAUGUGAAAUCCCUCGGACUCAAUCCAGGAAGUGCAUUGAAUACUGGAAGGCUAGAGUAUAGGAGGGGAGAGCGGAAUUCCUGGUGUAGAGGUGAAAUUCGUAGAUAUCAGGAGGAACAACAGUGGCGAAGGCGGCUCUCUGGACUAUAACUGACGCUGAGGUGCGAAAGCGUGGGGAGCAAACAGGAUUAGAUACCCUAGU